CCUGUUAUGCCCUAGUACGGCGAGUGAGCGGCACAGCUCAAAUUUGAAAUCUGGCUCUUUUAGAGUCCGAGUUGUAAUUUGCAGAGGGCGCUUUGGCUUUGGCAGCGGUCCAAGUUCCUUGGAACAGGACGUCACAGAGGGUGAGAAUCCCGUACGUGGUCGCUGGCUAUUGCCGUGUAAAGCCCCUUCGACGAGUCGAGUUGUUUGGGAAUGCAGCUCUAAAUGGGAGGUACAUUUCUUCUAAAGCUAAAUAUUGGCCAGAGACCGAUAGCGCACAAGUAGAGUGAUCGAAAGAUGAAAAGCACUUUGGAAAGAGAGUCAAACAGCACGUGAAAUUGUUGAAAGGGAAGCGCUUGCAGCCAGACUUGCUUACAGUUGCUCAUCCGGGUUUUUACCCGGUGCACUCUUCUGUAGGCAGGCCAGCAUCAGUUUGGGCGGUAGGAUAAAGGUCUCUGUCACGUACCUCCUUUCGGGGAGGCCUUAUAGGGGAGACGACAUACUACCAGCCUGGACUGAGGUCCGCGCAUCUGCUAGGAUGCUGGCGUAAUGGCUGUAAGCGGCCCGUCUUGAAACACGGACCA
This 581-nucleotide ribosomal RNA is filed under the name Alternaria tomato. Its description in RNAcentral is "partial large subunit ribosomal RNA". It matches the Rfam family "Eukaryotic large subunit ribosomal RNA", at positions 68 to 668 of the family's 3401-position model. Lineage: Eukaryota; Fungi; Ascomycota; Dothideomycetes; Pleosporales; Pleosporaceae. The record is from RNAcentral.